AAUGAUGACGCCGACUCGCCGAGGAUGAACGACGCCGACGCUGGAGAAGUGGAGAUGAUGACGGAAUAAAUGAUCGACUCCGAUCCGAGAAGCCGCAGCAACGGAGCUGAGUGACUGCGGAGAUGAUGACGCCGACUCUCUCUCCGAGGAUGAACGACGCUGGAGAAGUGGAGAUGAUGACGGAAGAGAUGAUCGGCUCCGAUCCGAGAAGCCAUCGCCGCUUGAGAGAGAUGAAGAUCUCCGAGUUUUCAGCAAAAAAAAAAUGUAAUUAGAAAAUAAAAUAAGGGGUACUAUGAUAAAUGAACCUUUUAAUGAAACCUAGUUAUGUGAUUUUGGAUCUUGAAUGCUAUUUUUGAGACAGAAACUUGGAUUGGUGUCAUUUUGGGCAUUUUCUCAUUUUAUUUUAUACUAUGGUCCUUAAAUUUGUCAUAAUUAAUUUAAAUUCAUAAUUUUUUUACUAGCACAUAUAUAAAAAUAUUG
RNAcentral lists this long non-coding RNA (480 nucleotides) under Brassica napus (rape). RNAcentral describes it as "long non-coding RNA (BNAP_LNC002565)". The record is from RNAcentral. Lineage: Eukaryota; Viridiplantae; Streptophyta; Magnoliopsida; Brassicales; Brassicaceae.